Molecule: ribosomal RNA, 602 nt
Filed under: uncultured bacterium
Lineage: Bacteria
Description: bacterial SSU rRNA
Rfam family: Bacterial small subunit ribosomal RNA (bases 1-518)
Source: RNAcentral
CCUACGGGAGGCAGCAGUGGGGAAUAUUGGACAAUGGGCGAAAGCCUGAUCCAGCAAUGCCGCGUGAGUGAUGAAGGCCUUAGGGUUGUAAAGCUCUUUUACCAGGGAUGAUAAUGACAGUACCUGGAGAAUAAGCUCCGGCUAACUCCGUGCCAGCAGCCGCGGUAAUACGGAGGGAGCUAGCGUUGUUCGGAAUUACUGGGCGUAAAGCGUACGUAGGCGGUUAUUCAAGUCAGAGGUGAAAGCCUGGAGCUCAACUCCAGAACUGCCUUUGAAACUAGAUAGCUAGAAUCUUGGAGAGGUGAGUGGAAUUCCGAGUGUAGAGGUGAAAUUCGUAGAUAUUCGGAAGAACACCAGUGGCGAAGGCGACUCACUGGACAAGUAUUGACGCUGAGGUACGAAAGCGUGGGGAGCAAACAGGAUUAGAUACCCUGGUAGUCCACGCCGUAAACGAUGAUAACUAGCUGUUCGGGCUCUACGAGCUUGAGUGGCGCNGCUACGCAUUAAGUUAGUCCGCCGUGGGAGGUACGGUCGCGAGAAGUUAAACGUUAAAGUAAGUUAGUUAGUACGUUGNGAGNGCGACGACGACGACGAGGAGGAGG